AGAUACCCUGUUACUUAUUCUAAGUUUCUUCGGAUUAAUAGUAUUAAUGAAAUUUAACGGAUUUGGCGGCAAGAUAGCUUUUUAGAGGAACCUGCCCUGUGAAUGAUGAACCACGAAAAUCUUACUCUUUUUAGGAAUCAGUUUGUAUACCGCUGUUGUCAGUCAGAUUUUUGAAGAUGUUUUCUCCUUUGGUAAAGCCAAUGACUUCAAGUAAAGGUGCAGCUUAUAAAAGAGAUAGAGGUGGGUUACAUUUAAUCGAAUAAAACGGAUUAAGAUCUGGAAGAGACUUAUGAAGGUGGAUUUAACUGUAAGAUUUAAUUAGAUCUGGUGAUAGCUCUAUCUUGUG
Molecule: ribosomal RNA, 346 nt
Filed under: Stomatolepas transversa
Lineage: Eukaryota; Metazoa; Arthropoda; Thecostraca; Balanomorpha; Coronulidae
Description: partial 12S rRNA
Source: RNAcentral